This 511-nucleotide ribosomal RNA is filed under the name uncultured Alphaproteobacteria bacterium. Its description in RNAcentral is "bacterial SSU rRNA". It matches the Rfam family "Bacterial small subunit ribosomal RNA", at positions 930 to 1434 of the family's 1533-position model. Lineage: Bacteria; Pseudomonadati; Pseudomonadota; Alphaproteobacteria. The record is from RNAcentral.
GGGUGGGAGCAUGUUGGUUUAAAUUCGACCGCAACGGGCAGAACCUUACCAGGGUUUGACAUCCUGAGACCGCUUCCUUAAAUGGGAGUUUUCCCGCAAGGGACUCAGGAGACAGGUGCUGCAUGGCUGUCGUCAGCUCGUGUCGUGAGAUGUUGGGUUAAGUCCCCGCAACGAAGCGGCAACCCUCGCCUUUAGUUGCCAUCAUUCAGUUGGGCACUCUAGAGGGACCGCCGGCGACAAGCCGGAGGAAGGUGGGGAUGACGUCAAGUCCUCAUGGCCCUUACACCCUGGGCUACACACGUGCUACAAUGGCGGUGACAGUGGGCAGCUACUUCGCGAGGAGCGGCUAAUCCCAAAAAACCGUCCCAGUUCAGAUGCACUCUGCAACUCGAGUGCAUGAAGGUGGAAUCGCUAGUAAUCGCAGAACAGCAGGCUGCGGUGAAUACGUUCCCGGGCCUUGUACACACCGCCCGUCACAGCAUGGGAGUUGGUUUUACCCGAAGACGGUGCG